Molecule: transfer RNA, 69 nt
Filed under: Marmota marmota marmota (Alpine marmot)
Lineage: Eukaryota; Metazoa; Chordata; Mammalia; Rodentia; Sciuridae
Also listed under: 1 other name
Rfam family: tRNA
About the family: Transfer RNA (tRNA) molecules are approximately 80 nucleotides in length. Their secondary structure includes four short double-helical elements and three loops (D, anti-codon, and T loops).
Source: Rfam by way of RNAcentral
GGGGCUGUAGCUCAGUGGUUGAGCACUUGCCUAGCAUGUGCGAGUCACAGGGUUCGAUCCUCAGCACCA